Molecule: ribosomal RNA, 253 nt
Filed under: uncultured bacterium
Lineage: Bacteria
Description: partial 16S ribosomal RNA
Rfam family: Bacterial small subunit ribosomal RNA
Source: RNAcentral
UACGUAGGAUGCAAGCGUUGUCCGGAAUUAUUGGGCGUAAAGAGCGCGCAGGCGGUAACUCAAGUCAGAUGUGAAAUAUCCGGGCUUAACCCGGAGGGGUCAUUUGAAACUGAGUAACUAGAGUACAGCAGAGGAUAGCGGAAUUCCCGGUGUAGUGGUGAAAUGCGUAGAUAUCGGGAGGAACACCAGUGGCGAAGGCGGCUAUCUGGGCUGAAACUGACGCUCAGGCACGAAAGCGUGGGGAGCAAACAGG